GAUGAACGCUAGCUACAGGCUUAACACAUGCAAGUCGAGGGGAAACGGCAUUAAGUGCUUGCACUUUUUGGACGUCGACCGGCGCACGGGUGAGUAACGCGUAUCCAACCUUCCCAUGACUAAGGGAUAACCUGCCGAAAGGCAGACUAAUACCUUAUGGUCUUCACUGACGGCAUCAGAUGUGAAGUAAAGAUUUAUCGGUUAUGGAUGGGGAUGCGUCUGAUUAGCUUGUUGGCGGGGUAACGGCCCACCAAGGCAACGAUCAGUAGGGGUUCUGAGAGGAAGGUCCCCCACAUUGGAACUGAGACACGGUCCAAACUCCUACGGGAGGCAGCAGUGAGGAAUAUUGGUCAAUGGGCGAGAGCCUGAACCAGCCAAGUAGCGUGCAGGAUGACGGCCCUAUGGGUUGUAAACUGCUUUUGUAUGGGGAUAAAGUCAAUCACGUGUGAUUGUUUGCAGGUACCAUACGAAUAAGGACCGGCUAAUUCCGUGCCAGCAGCCGCGGUAAUACGGAAGGUCCGGGCGUUAUCCGGAUUUAUUGGGUUUAAAGGGAGCGUAGGCUGGAGAUUAAGCGUGUUGUGAAAUGUAGACGCUCAACGUCUGACUUGCAGCGCAUACUGGUUUCCUUGAGUACGCACAACGUUGGCGGAAUUCGUCGUGUAGCGGUGAAAUGCUUAGAUAUGACGAAGAACUCCGAUUGCGAAGGCAGCUGACGGGAGCGCAACUGACGCUGAAGCUCGAAGGUGCGGGUAUCGAACAGG
RNAcentral lists this ribosomal RNA (761 nucleotides) under Prevotella melaninogenica. RNAcentral's name for it is "bacterial SSU rRNA". It matches the Rfam family "Bacterial small subunit ribosomal RNA", at positions 28 to 776 of the family's 1533-position model. Lineage: Bacteria; Pseudomonadati; Bacteroidota; Bacteroidia; Bacteroidales; Prevotellaceae. The record is from RNAcentral.